UACGAAGGGGGCUAGCGUUGCUCGGAAUGACUGGGCGUAAAGGGCGCGUAGGCGGUUUGUAAAGUCAGAUGUGAAAUUCCUGGGCUUAACCUGGGGGCUGCAUUUGAUACGUGCAGACUUGAGUGAGGAAGAGGGUUGUGGAAUUCCCAGUGUAGAGGUGAAAUUCGUAGAUAUUCGCAAGAACACCAGUGGCGAAGGCGGCUCACUGGCCCGGUACUGACGCUGAGGUGCGAAAGCGUGGGGAGCAAACAGG
RNAcentral lists this ribosomal RNA (253 nucleotides) under uncultured bacterium. RNAcentral's name for it is "partial 16S ribosomal RNA". It matches the Rfam family "Bacterial small subunit ribosomal RNA", at positions 524 to 776 of the family's 1533-position model. The record is from RNAcentral.